This is a non-coding RNA of Rhodocollybia butyracea, 87 nucleotides long. NCBI's taxonomy places the organism in Eukaryota, Fungi, Basidiomycota, Agaricomycetes, Agaricales, Omphalotaceae. The record is from the annotation of a GenBank genome assembly.
ACUCAAAUAGUCAAGUGGACAAGACACCUUGAGUGCAUCUCACAUUAACAUUUCAAAGACGCGGAGGUUCGAUUCCUCCUUUGAAUG